RNAcentral lists this ribosomal RNA (253 nucleotides) under uncultured bacterium. RNAcentral describes it as "partial 16S ribosomal RNA". It matches the Rfam family "Bacterial small subunit ribosomal RNA", at positions 524 to 776 of the family's 1533-position model. The record is from RNAcentral.
UACGUAGGGGGCAAGCGUUGUCCGGAUUUAUUGGGCGUAAAGAGCGUGUAGGCGGCCGUACAGGUCAGCUGUGAAAACUCGAGGCUCAACCUCGAGACGUCGGUUGAAACCGUACGGCUAGAGUCCGGAAGAGGAGAGUGGAAUUCCCGGUGUAGCGGUGAAAUGCGCAGAUAUCGGGAAGAACACCCGCGGCGAAGGCGGCUCUCUGGGACGGUACUGACGCUGAGACGCGAAAGCGUGGGGAGCGAACAGG